This 633-nucleotide ribosomal RNA is filed under the name uncultured euryarchaeote. Its description in RNAcentral is "bacterial SSU rRNA". It matches the Rfam family "Archaeal small subunit ribosomal RNA", at positions 83 to 721 of the family's 1478-position model. The record is from RNAcentral. Lineage: Archaea; Methanobacteriati; Methanobacteriota.
CGGCUCAGUAACACGUGGAUAACCUACCCUCAGAUCUGGGAUAACUCCGGGAAACUGGAGAUAAUACCGGAUAAUCCGUGAACGCUGGAAUGCCUUACGGUUGAAAGCUUUAGCGUCUGAGGAUGGGUCUGCGGCCGAUUAGGUAGUUGCUGGGGUAACGUCCCAACAAGCCGAUAAUCGGUACGGGUUGUGAGAGCAAGAGCCCGGAGAUGGAUUCUGAGACACGAAUCCAGGUCCUACGGGGCGCAGCAGGCGCGAAAACUUUACACUGCGCGAAAGCGCGAUAAGGGGACCUCGAGUGCGUGCGCAAAGCGUACGCUUUUCAGAUGCCUAAAAAGCAUCUGGAAUAAGGGCCGGGCAAGACCGGUGCCAGCCGCCGCGGUAACACCGGCGGCUCAAGUGGUGGCCGCUAUUAUUGGGCUUAAAGGGUCCGUAGCCGGACCAGUUAGUCCCUUGGGAAAUCUUACGGCUUAACCGUAAGGCUGCCAAUGGAUACUGCUGGUCUUGGGACCGGGAGAGGCAAGAGGUACCUCAGGGGUAGGAGUGAAAUCCUGUAAUCCUUGAGGGACCGCCAGUGGCGAAGGCGUCUUGCUAGAACGGGUCCGACGGUGAGGGACGAAAGCUAGGGGCACG